UGCAAGUCGAGCGGUAAGGUUUUCGGACCCUAGAGCGGCGAACGGGUGAGUAACGCGUACGAAACCUACCUUUAAGAGAGGGAUAGCCCUGGGAAACUGGGAGUAAUACCUCAUAGUAUUCAUUUACCGCAUGGUUUAUGGAUUAAAGCUACGGCGCUUAAAGAUGGUCGUGCGUCUGAUUAGCUAGUUGGUAGGGUAACGGCCUACCAAGGCUACGAUCAGUAGGGGGCGUGAGAGCGUGGCCCCCCACACGGGUACUGAGACACGGACCCGACUCCUACGGGAGGCAGCAGUAAGGAAUAUUGGGCAAUGGACGCAAGUCUGACCCAGCCAUCCCGCGUGCAGGACGUAUGCCCUAUGGGUUGUAAACUGCUUUUGUUUGGGAAGAAAUGCAUUCUUUUAAGAGUAUUUGACGGUGGGGGGACGAAUAAGCACCGGCUAACUCCGUGCCAGCAGCCGCGGUAAUACGGAGGGUGCAAGCGUUAUCCGGAAUCACUGGGUUUAAAGGGUGCGUAGGCGGCCAGAUAAGUCAGAGGUGAAAGUUUCCGGCUCAACCGGGAGAUUGCCUUUGAUACUGUUUGGCUUGAAUCAGAUUGAGGUUGGCGGAAUGUGACAUGUAGCGGUGAAAUGCAUAGAUAUGUCAUAGAACAUCGAUUGCGAAGGCAGCUGGCUGGAUCUGUAUUGACGCUGAGGCACGAAA
Molecule: ribosomal RNA, 700 nt
Filed under: uncultured bacterium
Lineage: Bacteria
Description: bacterial SSU rRNA
Rfam family: Bacterial small subunit ribosomal RNA
Source: RNAcentral